GGAUUAGAUACCCUGGUAGUCCACGCCCUAAACGAUGCGAACUGGAUGUUGGGUGCAAUUAGGCACUCAGUAUCGAAGCUAACGCGUUAAGUUCGCCGCCUGGGAAGUACGGUCGCAAGACUGAAACUCAAAGGAAUUGACGGGGGCCCGCACAAGCGGUGGAGUAUGUGGUUUAAUUCGAUGCAACGCGAAGAACCUUACCUGGCCUUGACAUGUCUGGAACCCCUUGAGAGAUCGAGGGGUGCCUUCGGGAACCAGAACACAGGUGCUGCAUGGCUGUCGUCAGCUCGUGUCGUGAGAUGUUGGGUUAAGUCCCGCAACGAGCGCAACCCUUGUCCUUAGUUGCCAGCACGUAAUGGUGGGAACUCUAAGGAGACCGCCGGUGACAAAC
This 391-nucleotide ribosomal RNA is filed under the name uncultured bacterium. Its description in RNAcentral is "bacterial SSU rRNA". It matches the Rfam family "Bacterial small subunit ribosomal RNA", at positions 775 to 1163 of the family's 1533-position model. The record is from RNAcentral.